UGACUCUAAUGGAAAAAUACAGUGAACUC
Molecule: small RNA, 29 nt
Filed under: Bombyx mori (domestic silkworm)
Lineage: Eukaryota; Metazoa; Arthropoda; Insecta; Lepidoptera; Bombycidae
Description: piRNA piR-bmo-1364205
Source: RNAcentral